GACGAACGCUGGCGGCGUGCUUAACACAUGCAAGUCGAACGGAAAGGCCCUGCUUUUGUGGGGUGCUCGAGUGGCGAACGGGUGAGUAACACGUGAGUAACCUGCCCUUGACUUUGGGAUAACUUCAGGAAACUGGGGCUAAUACCGGAUAUGAGCUCCUGCUGCAUGGUGGUGGUUGGAAAGUUUCGGCGGUUGGGGAUGGACUCGCGGCUUAUCAGCUUGUUUGUGGGGUAGUGGCUUACCAAGGCUUUGACGGGUAGCCGGCCUGGGAGGGUGACCGGCCACAAGGGGACUGAGAUACGGAGCAGACGCGUACGGGAGGCAGCAGUGGGAAAUAUUGCAGAAUGGGCGGGAGCCUGAUGCAGCAACGCCGCGUGCGGGAAGACGGCCUUCGGGUUGUAAACCGCUUUCGCCUGUGACGAAGCGUGAGUGACGGUAAUGGGUAAAGAAGCACCGGCUAACUACGUG
RNAcentral lists this ribosomal RNA (468 nucleotides) under uncultured bacterium. RNAcentral describes it as "partial 16S ribosomal RNA". It matches the Rfam family "Bacterial small subunit ribosomal RNA", at positions 28 to 507 of the family's 1533-position model. The record is from RNAcentral.